RNAcentral lists this ribosomal RNA (467 nucleotides) under uncultured bacterium. RNAcentral describes it as "partial 16S ribosomal RNA". It matches the Rfam family "Bacterial small subunit ribosomal RNA", at positions 28 to 506 of the family's 1533-position model. The record is from RNAcentral.
GACGAACGCUGGCGGCGUGCUUAACACAUGCAAGUCGAACGGAAAGGCCCUGCUUUUGUGGGGUGCUCGAGUGGCGAACGGGUGAGUAACACGUGAGUAACCUGCCCUUGACUUUGGGAUAACUUCAGGAAACUGGGGCUAAUACCGGAUAGGAGCUCCUGCUGCAUGGUGGGGGUUGGAAAGUUUCGGCGGUUGGGGAUGGACUCGCGGCUUAUCAGCUUGUUGGUGGGGUAGUGGCUUACCAAGGCUUUGACGGGUAGCCGGCCUGAGAGGGUGACCGGCCACAUUGGGACUGAGAGACGGCCCAGACUCCUACGGGAGGCAGCGGUGGGGAAUAUUGCACAAUGGGCGGAAGCCUGAUGCAGCGACGCCGCGUGCGGGAGGACGGCCUUCGGGUUGUAAACCGCUUUCGCCUGGGACGAAGCGUGAGUGACGGUAAUGGGUAAAGAAGCACCGGCUAACUACGU